GCCCGGCUAGCUCAGUCGGUAGAGCAUGAGACUCUUAAUUUCAGGGUCAUGGGUUUGUUCCCCAUGUUGGGCA
Molecule: transfer RNA, 73 nt
Filed under: Erinaceus europaeus (western European hedgehog)
Lineage: Eukaryota; Metazoa; Chordata; Mammalia; Eulipotyphla; Erinaceidae
Description: tRNA-Lys (CTT) (tRNA-Lys-CTT-85-1)
Rfam family: tRNA
About the family: Transfer RNA (tRNA) molecules are approximately 80 nucleotides in length. Their secondary structure includes four short double-helical elements and three loops (D, anti-codon, and T loops).
Source: Rfam by way of RNAcentral